AUUGAACGCUGGCGGCAUGCUUUACACAUGCAAGUCGAACGGCAGCGCGGGCUUCGGCCUGGCGGCGGGUGGCGAACGGGUGAGUAAUGCAUCGGAACGUGCCCAGCUGUCGGGGAUAGCCCGGCGAAAGCCGGAUUAAUACCGCAUACGACCUGAGGGUGAAAGCGGGGGACCGAAAGGCCUCGCGCUAUUGGAGCGGCCGAUGUCGGAUUAGCUAGUUGGUGGGGUAAAGGCUUACCAAGGCGACGAUCCGUAGCUGGUCUGAGAGGACGACCAGCCACACUGGGACUGAGACACGGCCCAGACUCCUACGGGAGGCAGCAGUGGGGAAUUUUGGACAAUGGGGGCAACCCUGAUCCAGCCGUGCCGCGUGCGGGAAGAAGGCCUUCGGGUUGUAAACCGCUUUUGUUCGGGAAGAAAUCCUCUGGGCUAAUACCCCGGGGGGAUGACGGUACCGGAAGAAGAAGCACCGGCUAACUACGUG
This 484-nucleotide ribosomal RNA is filed under the name uncultured bacterium. RNAcentral's name for it is "partial 16S ribosomal RNA". It matches the Rfam family "Bacterial small subunit ribosomal RNA", at positions 28 to 507 of the family's 1533-position model. The record is from RNAcentral.